AAGGACACUAUAAAAAGAUAAUGAGAGAAAAUAAUUAUUUAAUAAAUAUAAAUAUUCUUACUUGACUCAUACGGAAAUAUAUAUAAAGAAAAAAGGAAAUAUUACAAGUUAUAGUUUAACUCCAAAAUAUAUUGGGUAGAGCAGAGAAGCUAUACACUAUUUAGAAAACAUACAACUAACCUUAAACUUACAAAGAAUGGUAUAUUAAGAAAUUGCUCAUAUAAUGAGAUAUUUACCUCGAUAAUAAAAUAAAAGCCGACAUUUAAAUGAUUACGUGUAAUAAUACAAUAUCUAAUAAAAUAUUCGCUUUAAGAAACGCUUCUAAUGUUUGUGCGAGAGAGUAUAUUUGGAAAGGUUAGUAACUUUCUUCAGAAGCUGGGUAAGCAGAGCAUGCCUCGUUUUUACGUACUUUCAACAUAAUCUUCCAAGUAAAGCAUCCUUUUCUGCUGGCGCUUCGUUACCCGAUGCUUAAUUUACAAUUAUUUACAAUUUACUAAAGGGGAGUGCUUGCCGCCGUGACAAAAUCAACGAAAAUUCUAGCACUCGAUCGGAAGCGUGUUUACGGCGGCCAAAUCCCUUGUUGUACCCACAUUUUCACGCUAGUUCUGUAAAUAAUGCGAAUCUAUGAACGAUUCGUACGAAAUAUCGUAGGAAAAAUGUCAUUUUCGCGAAUAUAAAUGGUCCAGUAAUUAGUGCAUUCUUAAAAGUGUUAUUUAUUUCGGAAUUAUUACUGGCCAGUUAUCUAUUCCUUGUAAUCCGCCAUCUUAACGUAACUUUCAGGAGUGACUUUACAUGGUUCUGUGCCCCGUGCGAAAUAUUUUACAUUCUUAUUUUUUAGUCAAAUAUUUCUAUCGAUUCAGACAUUGGUAUUUUCAUUUAUUGAAUAAAUAUUAUCAUUACAUUUAUUCUAUUCCUUAAAUUUUAUAUCUCUAAUUCUUUAUAUUAUAUACUUAUUAGUUGCAUAAUGGAUAUAAAUGUAUUCUGUAUGUAUUGCACACAUAAUAUAUGAUAUUUAAAAAGA
Bombus pascuorum is the source of this 1021-nucleotide long non-coding RNA. RefSeq lists it as uncharacterized. NCBI's taxonomy places the organism in Eukaryota, Metazoa, Arthropoda, Insecta, Hymenoptera, Apidae. The record is from RefSeq and is a predicted model, not a curated record. The transcript has 2 exons.